Molecule: ribosomal RNA, 484 nt
Filed under: uncultured bacterium
Lineage: Bacteria
Description: partial 16S ribosomal RNA
Rfam family: Bacterial small subunit ribosomal RNA
Source: RNAcentral
AUUGAACGCUGGCGGCAGGCCUAACACAUGCAAGUCGAGCGGAUGAAGGGAGCUUGCUCCUGGAUUCAGCGGCGGACGGGUGAGUAAUGCCUAGGAAUCUGCCUGGUAGUGGGGGAUAACGUCCGGAAACGGGCGCUAAUACCGCAUACGUCCUGAGGGAGAAAGUGGGGGAUCUUCGGACCUCACGCUAUCAGAUGAGCCUAGGUCGGAUUAGCUAGUUGGUGGGGUAAAGGCCUACCAAGGCGACGAUCCGUAACUGGUCUGAGAGGAUGAUCAGUCACACUGGAACUGAGUCACGGUCCAGACUCCUACGGGAGGCAGCAGUGGGGAAUAUUGGACCAUGGGCGAAAGCCUGAUCCAGCCAUGCCGCGUGUGUGAAGAAGGUCUUCGGAUUGUAAAGCACUUUAAGUUGGGAGGAAGGGCAGUAAGUUAAUACCUUGCUGUUUUGACGUUACCAACAGAAUAAGCACCGGCUAACUUCGUG